ACGCCUACAGUGCGCUCCCCCUCACUCCUUUUCCUCGGAGUGCCCGGCCCCGGCCCCCUUCUGCCCCUUUCCCCGGCAGGGUGAUACUUUGUCAAGCCGUAAUCCAACCCUGCUAAACCCGCGGGUAGAGCUGAAGCGCUGCGAUGAAUCUCGGCAGACUCAUUCCUCUCCUCGAGAGCUUGCUGCCCUUAGAAAUGACUUCAGCGCGCUUUUGCAAGUGUAAAGGGAAAUCAAGAUCCCCUCUUCAUGUCUCUUGAUCUUCACCAGACUAGAAGAACCUGUAGUUCUUAGAGCUGCAGUGGAAAGUGACCUGUUGUGUUUGUGGAAGCUCUGGAAUCCUGCAGGAGAAGGAUCACUCAGCACCGUGGCAAUCUGCCAAGUACAACUUGUUCUGAAACACAGUGGCUCUGAGAAGUUGCAUUAUCAACUGAAACACAAUGUCAGCUUAGCAGGAGGUUGCUGGCUGACCCUUCUACACAGAGGUGGGGGUGGGGAACAACAUCAGUCUAGACAGAAGAGGACAACAACUAGCUGUCCACUCAGGCUGCAGAUUAGAGGACAUAACUGUGCGCUGAUACCACAACUCCAUUUUUGCACAGCGAUACAACAUACUGCUGAAGCAUUGGGAUUUCAGUCUAAAAUUUUGAGAUAAACGGACAAGUGCAAGCAGAACUACAUAAUAAACUUAAAAGAGCAUCACCUGAUGAAACAAAAGAAAAUCUGGGCUAACCCAGAUGGCUGAAUAUCAAGCUUAAUACAUUUUUGAAAGGCAAGUAUGUUCCCUCUUCUAAAUACCAUUUAGUUAUGAUAUUUUGACUAAACUUGACUAAAAUUAUGAAGCAGUCACAUCUGAGAAUUACCUCCUAUCCCCUUAUAGAUGUUUGUGCUAUACGCACAUUAUCCUAUUUGCCAUUCAAUUGUGAUUACAGCUUUUAUUCAUUGCUGUUAGUAUCAGCUAUUUGGGAAGCUUUCCAGCAAAUAAUAAUUUUAAAGGUUAGCAUUAUAUAGAAUCAAAAAUACCCCAUAUAGCUAAAUUCACCUCACAGUUGUGAUAGCUGAUCCCAGCUAUUUCAACGAGGUUACACCUUUUG
This 1091-nucleotide long non-coding RNA is filed under the name Apteryx owenii (little spotted kiwi). RNAcentral describes it as "lncRNA (ENSAOWG00000000889.1)". Lineage: Eukaryota; Metazoa; Chordata; Aves; Apterygiformes; Apterygidae. The record is from RNAcentral.